RNAcentral lists this transfer RNA (69 nucleotides) under Plethodon petraeus (Pigeon Mountain salamander). RNAcentral describes it as "tRNA-Asp". It matches the Rfam family "tRNA". Rfam says of the family: Transfer RNA (tRNA) molecules are approximately 80 nucleotides in length. Their secondary structure includes four short double-helical elements and three loops (D, anti-codon, and T loops). Lineage: Eukaryota; Metazoa; Chordata; Amphibia; Caudata; Plethodontidae. The record is from RNAcentral.
UAGAUGUUAGUAAAACAAUUACUAAGCCUUGUCAAGGCCUAAUUACUGGUUAAAAUCUUGUACACCUAU